GCGGAAAGGAUUGAUGGUUCCAAUUAGUACAUCUUGGUGCCAGAACACAGAGUCAACCUCAUAAACUCACAUAUUUAAGUAUAUUAAUAAGACGGUUAAGUGAAAGAUAUUCGUAUUAUUAAAAAAAUGCUCCUUUAUCGUUUUUGGUAUGUAUCAUUUUAAAUUAAUCUUACUGAACGAGAUUAACGCUAAUAAUAUAAAUUAAUUGUUGUCAAAUAAUUUAAGGACGGAAUCAUUGUCAGAUUGAUUCUUCUUCAAAAACUAAAGCUAUCUCCUUAUAAGCUAUUGGGGAAUCUCUUUCAAACAUGGUAUAAAUGCGUCCAUGGCAUACUCGGAGCAAUAAUAGUAUAGCGAUCAAAGUUAAUAAUGAAGAUGCAUUUGCUUGUACUUAUAUAAAUUCUUAUGGUUGUUGAGAUAAGGGAACAAUUUUAUACUGAGUUACAUAUGUUCUAUCCUUCAUCAGUAUUCUCUACAAACGCGAAAAUUCCUUGUCCAUUUAAGCAAUUCGUAUUACAAAGCUCUAUGUUCAUAUUAUACGAAGGACGUUGAAAGUUUUUAAUUGAUUCUGACAAUGACUUACAGAUAGAAUAUGAUGGUUUGAGUUAUUGAAAAUGCUAAAUCGUCUUUUCAAGUAAUUGAUGAACUAAAACAGUUUCUUAUACAUUAUAUUUCAGAAAGUACUUUAAAGAUACUCUGCUUUCUUCCUUGUUUUUUUUUUUUUUUCUUUUUUUUUUUUUUUGGAAUACUAAUACCGAGAAAACUUUCGUCAAAUUUUAUGGGCCUAAUAAUAAUCUUAUGAAAUUAAGGUGCACUUAACCGAGCUAUACUUUAAAGAUUACAAUUAUCACAACUGAACACAACAUUAUAUUGUUGGGGUAAACCUUUAAAUUUCAUGCAUUUGAAGAAAAUUGAUUGCAUUAGCUUAAAAUAUAGCUCACUUAGUGACUGGAUGAUCAUCAUAAUAUUAUGUCGAGUUUUGUUUAUUAGUCUUCCACUGUGAGCUGUUCAAAACUAAGAUUAUUUAACGUAUUUUCAUUGGCAUAGUGUUGGAGGAAGUUAAAAAUAAUAAGCAAAGUAACCUCUGGAAGGAUAAAACUGUCUAUAAAAAUAGCAAUUACGCUACAAAAGUUUAUAGCUUUUACGGCUUUAAUGCUAUUCUCAUUUACAGGUACUAAGACUCCUUUGGAUGCUUAGUUACAGUGAUAGGGCAUAAUUAGAAUCUUCAAUAAAAUAGGGGUUUGAAAAACUAAACUACUUGUGAGAAAGAAUUAAGCCUUACGUCUCUUUGAGUGAAUUCCCUUUUCUGCUUUGUUAAUCCAUAAUCUGCUGUAUUUGACUUCAAAAUACAACUUUAAUUGAUUUACUUUUAAAAAGUUGAUUGAUUGGUAAAUUGAAAGUUUUUGCUGGACUUCUGCUUAUUUUCACAACAAUUAUAUUAUAAAGGGUUAAGUGGUGUGCAAUUGGUUUUUAAGAGUUUGAAGCAAGCUCCAUGUUAAUUCUAAUUAAAAUAAAAUAGAGUGAUUAAUUUUAAAUGGAACGGAGCAAUGCUAAGCUAAAUAUUGAAGAUUGGGUCUCGUUAAGAAAGGUUUGUGGUGCAAUUUGUUUACAAGGCUUUAAUGUGAUAAACGGUUGACGAAUGAAUGAAACCAAAUGGAAAACAACUUCCAAAAUAUUUAAUAAAUUUUUUAAAAUUUGUUUCGCUACGAUAGUCAAUGAAUUGACCCAAUGCAGGAGAAAUUUGUUGUUUCAGUAGCAUUUCUGGAUUUCGAGAAACAGAUACAUUUUAAUUAAUUUAAUGU
Molecule: long non-coding RNA, 1799 nt
Filed under: Schizosaccharomyces pombe (fission yeast)
Lineage: Eukaryota; Fungi; Ascomycota; Schizosaccharomycetes; Schizosaccharomycetales; Schizosaccharomycetaceae
Source: RNAcentral